CUAAGCUCCAGGAACAACUUGUUUUGGCUAACCACUAUGCAUCAUUCCAGAUGGAAGAUGGGUUUCUUGUGAGACACCAUACUAAACUUGAGGGAGGCCGGAAAGUAUAUUGGGUUCCUAGGGAAGGCAUCAUUAGUUGCAGUUGCCAUCAGUUUGAGUUCUCUGGAAUUCUUUGUCGGCAUGCUCUCCGAGUUCUUUCCACAGGAAAUUGUUUUCAGAUUCCAGAAAGGUAUCUCCCCACCCGUUGGAGUAGAAUCAGCACAACUCCAGCGAAACUUCUUCACGGUUCUCCAAAUGAUCAUGGAGAAAGGAUACAGUUAUUGCAGAACAUGGUAUCAACUCUAAUAACUGAAUCUGCCAAGUCAAAAGAAAGGCUGGACAUUGCUACUGAGCAAGUUUCCAUCCUCUUAUCUCGCAUCAGGGAGCAGCCAGUUCCAUCACAUGGUGUGAGAGAGAUCGCAUCCACUCAUCAAAAUAUUUAGCCAAAAGACAAUACCAUUGUUUGAAUUAUCUUGGAAAGCAGGAGGAAACAUGCCAACAUUUUGGUAAAAAAAGCAAGUUGGCUAUAUCUGUGAAGCAAUGAUUAAAUGAAUUUACUUGCUCGUGGAUUGAAAUUCUGCAUGAAAAUUUUUGUA
RNAcentral lists this unclassified non-coding RNA (635 nucleotides) under Hevea brasiliensis (rubber tree). Lineage: Eukaryota; Viridiplantae; Streptophyta; Magnoliopsida; Malpighiales; Euphorbiaceae. The record is from RNAcentral.